AUUGAACGCUGGCGGCAGGCCUAACACAUGCAAGUCGAACGGUAACAGGAAGAAGCUUGCUUCUUUGCUGACGAGUGGCGGACGGGUGAGUAAUGUCUGGGAAACUGCCUGAUGGAGGGGGAUAACUACUGGAAACGGUAGCUAAUACCGCAUAACGUCGCAAGACCAAAGAGGGGGACCUUCGGGCCUCUUGCCAUCGGAUGUGCCCAGAUGGGAUUAGCUAGUAGGUGGGGUAACGGCUCACCUAGGCGACGAUCCCUAGCUGGUCUGAGAGGAUGACCAGCCACACUGGAACUGAGACACGGUCCUGACUCCUACGGGAGGCAGCAGUGGGGAAUAUUGCACAAUGGGCGCAAGCCUGAUGCAGCCAUGCCGCGUGUAUGAAGAAGGCCUUCGGGUUGUAAAGUACUUUCAGCGGGGAGGAAGGGAGUAAAGUUAAUACCUUUGCUCAUUGACGUUACCCGCAGAAGAAGCACCGGCUAACUCCGUG
This 490-nucleotide ribosomal RNA is filed under the name uncultured bacterium. Its description in RNAcentral is "partial 16S ribosomal RNA". It matches the Rfam family "Bacterial small subunit ribosomal RNA", at positions 30 to 507 of the family's 1533-position model. The record is from RNAcentral.